This 486-nucleotide ribosomal RNA is filed under the name uncultured bacterium. Its description in RNAcentral is "bacterial SSU rRNA". It matches the Rfam family "Bacterial small subunit ribosomal RNA", at positions 36 to 518 of the family's 1533-position model. The record is from RNAcentral.
CUGGCGGCGUGCCUAACACAUGCAAGUCGAACGAAGCACAGAGGAUAGAGACUUCGGUCAAUAGAGCCUGUGACUUAGUGGCGGACGGGUGAGUAAUGCAUGAGCAACCUGCCCUGGAGAGGGGGGACAACAGCUGGAAACGGCUGCUAAUACCGCAUGAAGUUGCGAGGGGGCAUCCCUUUGCAACCAAAGAUUUAUCGCUCUGGGAUGGGCUCAUGUCUGAUUAGUUUGUUGGCGGGGCAACGGCCCACCAAGACUACGAUCAGUAGCCGGACUGAGAGGUUGAACGGCCACAUUGGGACUGAGAUACGGCCCAGACUCCUACGGGAGGCAGCAGUGGGGAAUAUUGGGCAAUGGGCGCAAGCCUGACCCAGCAACGCCGCGUGAAGGAAGAAGGCUUUCGGGUUGUAAACUUCUUUUAUCAGGGACGAAGAACGUGACGGUACCUGAUGAAUAAGCCACGGCUAACUACGUGCCAGCAGCUGC